UACGGGGGGUGCGAGCGUUGUCCGGAAUCACUGGGCGUAAAGGGCGUGUAGGUGGCCUGAUAAGGGUGUGGUGAAAGUCCGGGGCUUAACCCCGGAUCUGCCGUGCCGACUGUUAGGCUAGAGUGCUGUAGGGGCAGGCGGAAUUCCGGGUGUAGCGGUGGAAUGCGUAGAGAUCCGGAGGAAGACCGGUGGCGAAGGCGGCCUGCUGGGCAGAUACUGACACUGAGGCGCGACAGCGUGGGGAGCAAACAGG
RNAcentral lists this ribosomal RNA (253 nucleotides) under uncultured bacterium. RNAcentral describes it as "partial 16S ribosomal RNA". It matches the Rfam family "Bacterial small subunit ribosomal RNA", at positions 524 to 776 of the family's 1533-position model. The record is from RNAcentral.